GGACGAUGUCUGAGGCCGUUUAUGAGGAAAUUUAUCACAGACAAAAUCACUUCACUCAGAAGGACAAAAUGGACCAAGAGGCUCCAGAAGAAUAUGUCAACACUGAUAGACUGAAUUAUGACACAACUGAGGUCUAUGAUGAUGCAACAACCAUGAGAGAAGAGCAUGGAGAAGAGGAGCCAAUUUAAGAUGAAAAAAGUGUGUGAUCAACUACUGCUUCUGCUGUUUCUUAUAAUUGUUGUUGUUAUUUGCUACCUGGUGCAUUUUAAUAUCAGGUAAUCAACUAAAUCAGCAUGUUUG
Carassius gibelio (silver crucian carp) is the source of this 300-nucleotide long non-coding RNA. RefSeq lists it as uncharacterized. The record is from RefSeq and is a predicted model, not a curated record. The transcript has 4 exons. Lineage: Eukaryota; Metazoa; Chordata; Actinopteri; Cypriniformes; Cyprinidae.